RNAcentral lists this ribosomal RNA (492 nucleotides) under uncultured bacterium. RNAcentral describes it as "partial 16S ribosomal RNA". It matches the Rfam family "Bacterial small subunit ribosomal RNA", at positions 29 to 507 of the family's 1533-position model. The record is from RNAcentral.
AGUGAACGCUGGCGGUAGGCCUAACACAUGCAAGUCGAACGGCAGCACAGUAAGAGCUUGCUCUUACGGGUGGCGAGUGGCGGACGGGUGAGGAAUAUAUCGGAAUCUACUUUUUCGUGGGGGAUAACGUAGGGAAACUUACGCUAAUACCGCAUACGACCUACGGGUGAAAGCAGGGGAUCUUCGGACCUUGCGCGAUUGAAUGAGCCGAUGUCGGAUUAGCUAGUUGGCGGGGUAAAGGCCCACCAAGGCGACGAUCCGUAGCUGGUCUGAGAGGAUGAUCAGCCACACUGGAACUGAGACACGGUCCAGACUCGUACGGGAGGCAGCAGUGGGGAAUAUUGGACAAUGGGCGCAAGCCUGAUCCAGCCAUACCGCGUGGGUGAAGAAGGCCUUCGGGUUGUAAAGCCCUUUUGUUGGGAAAGAAAAGCAGCAGGUUAAUACCCCGCUGUUCUGACGGUACCCAAAGAAUAAGCACCGGCUAACUUCGUG